Molecule: ribosomal RNA, 460 nt
Filed under: uncultured bacterium
Lineage: Bacteria
Description: partial 16S ribosomal RNA
Rfam family: Bacterial small subunit ribosomal RNA
Source: RNAcentral
CCUACGGGAGGCAGCAGUGAGGAAUAUUGGGCAAUGGGCGCGAGUCUGAACCAGCCAAGUAGCGUGAAUGAUGACUGCCCUACGGGUUGUAAACUUCGUUUAUAAAGGAAUAAAGUGAGGCACUUGUGCCUUUUUGUAUGUACUUUAUGAAUAAGGAUCGGCUAACUCCGUGCCAGCAGCGGCGGUAAUACGGAGGAUGCGAGCGUUAUCAGGAUUUAUUGGGUUUAAAGGGAGCGUAGAUGGGUUGUUAAGUCAGUUGUGAAAGUUUGCGGCUCAACCGUAAAAUUGCAAUUGAUACUGGCAGCCUUGAGUACAGUUGAGGUAGGCGGAAUUCGUGGUGUAGCGGUGGAAUGCUUAGAUAUCACGAAGAACUCCGAUUGCGAAGGCAGCCUACUAAACUGCCACUGACAUUGAUGCUCGAAAGUGUGGGUAUCAAACAGGAUUAGAUACCCUAGUAGUC